This is a long non-coding RNA of Gorilla gorilla gorilla (western lowland gorilla), 10940 nucleotides long. RefSeq lists it as uncharacterized. The record is from RefSeq and is a predicted model, not a curated record. The transcript is spliced from 4 exons. NCBI's taxonomy places the organism in Eukaryota, Metazoa, Chordata, Mammalia, Primates, Hominidae.
AGUUUCCAGGAGUGUGGACAUCCAUGCAUGAACAUUGUGGAGGGGUUGGGGGUUGGCUAGUGGAUGCUCAUCUUGCUUGACUGCCCAUGCUGGAGAGGAGAACCCAGUCAUUGGCCACUUCAGGUCCAGGCUUGGUUGUUGCUCUGUUUUGCUGUUUUUCAUGUUGUCAGAUCUUCUUGGGAACAAAUGACUCAGCAACCCAAAUCUCUGAGACUGUGUGGUCAAUUACUUGAAAAGUAAUUGAACAUAUCUACCUAGCCCCUAAAAUUUUGAGCCCAGGAAGGAUGGAUAUCCAGACUGGUUUUACUCCGGAUUCUUCAGGCUGCAGUUCAAUUUGGUUUUUCAAAUUCCUGCCCUGAUAGAAGGAUCUCAUUUGUGGGGUAGGCAGGCAAUGUUUUAAUUACGCUUUUUGUCCUUAAGAAAUUCCAGGGAGAAAAAGGUCCUGGUUUGUGGCCAAAAAGGCAAAAAAACAACAGAAAUCAGCUAUGACUGUAAUCCUGGACUUGUCUGUGGCACAAAGAGUUAAUGGGACAGUGGUCAGGGUGAGGAACAUUUUUUCUCAGGGCUGGAGAAGCCCAUAUGGCUCAAGAAAAGAUGUUGCAACAUUUAGUACAGGGCAGCCCUGUCUGGGCACUGGGGGCUGCCACUCAAAGAGUUAAGCUACUCUUAUGCCUGGGAAGGCCUCAGGGAAGGAGUGAGCCUGAAAGGACAGGGACCUCUAUGCCCCAGAGCAGUGAGGUGCAGGAGGGGUGAGGUGGGAGGGUGUGAGCUGAAAAGUGUGGCCAAGGAAGCAAAGUGUAGGCCCAACUUUUUUUGCCUUGUUUGACCAGCCUUGGCACUGCCCUCCGGCUCUCCAGGGGAAAAGCUGCAGUUCUGCUCUUGCAACACAAGGAGCAGACUGGAGAAUUUAGAUCUGCGUCACAGAGCUGAGAGAGAGAGAGAGAGAGAGUGAGAGUGAGAGAGCGAGCGAGCAAGCAAGCUCCGUCGAUAGGUCUGCUAGCAACAGCCGUGCUGCAGCAGAGAGAGAGAGAGAAAUCAAGAAACAAGUCAUAGCAACACCGGGCACCAGGUUCUGCCAGCUCACUUGCUGAGCGUUCAGAGAUCUGUCAGGGCCAGAGGCCUCUGGGUAGCCUAGGCUAGGAGAUGACACGCAAGGUGGCACGGGCGGUUCCCGCGGGGAGGAGGUGGGGUGGUGGUGGGGGGCAGGGGUGGGAGCAAGAGGUUGUGGGGCGACGGUGGAGGGUUUGAUGGGACCAAAUUCUGGAACAUUCGGGACUGCGGCACCUUACGGCGGGACCAAGAUUUGGGUCUGCGCAGGCGGCGAUGGGUGGUCCGACGGGCUUCAGGACUUGAUGGCGUAACCCCCUUCUUCCCCCACGUAUGUAUUUGCUGGGAUCAGGGGCGCUGUCUCUGUGUAUGUGGGUGCUCUGUCUUUCUCACCUUCUUUCUCGAUUUUUGCUAUUUAUUUCUCUGAGGGAGGGUUUUUUCCCACUUUAAUUUCUUUUCCCUAGUGUCAGCUGCUCAAGCCUGACCAGGGUAGAGGAGAGAGGAGUGAACCAUCCCCUGCUUCCCACCUGACCUCCCAGCUUUUACCCUAUUUCCUUCUAGUGGACAGACAGACUGGUUCUCCAAGUUGUUUGGGUGUCAGCGUCCAUCUGUCUGUCCGUGCAGGUCUUAUGUGGAAGGUAAGGGAGUGAGAAGUGCCGAAAGGAAGACAGAGGGACAGUUUUUUCCCAGGGGUUGCCUUAUUGAAAGGUCUGGCCCUGGGAUUCUGAGGCUGGUGGGGAGCCGAGUGGCCAGGGUGGGGUGUGGGCUGGGAGAAGUGGGGUAAAGCUGGUAGGUUUGUCACUGCGUAGUUGGGAAAAGUGGGGAAUGGUGACGCAGUCACUGUUGCAUCUGCUUAGGAGCUCUAUGGGGACAGGUAGUGAGGCUCCUGGGGUCUCUGUGGCCAGCUGAGAGGGGUUAAGGAUGAGCUAAGAAGGGAAGCUAGCAUUUAGAGAUUAAAUGUCAUCCUUUUGGCGUUGGAAAGUUGUUUACCUUGCGCUCUCUGUGUCUCCAUGUUGGCUCCCUUCCAGUUCACAUGUGAUGGCCUUCCCUGUACUGCUGCAUCAUUAACUAAGUGACUGAGCUGGCCUUCCAUUGGCCAGGGGAGGGCUCUCCCUCCAGACACUUCCUCUGAUUGGUGGGUGGGCCAAUGGCAGGUGAAAAGCUUUUUUUGAUUGGCUCAGGGCAGGGUAUCAAAUCUGAAUUUGCAUUUCACUUGCUUAAAGGGGAGCGGGGAGAAGCCCAGCAGCUUUCUAAAAUCUCUUUAGGGGUGUGCGUAGGCUCCUGUGUCUAUGCCUGCUUUUGACUGCCCAGUUGAAGCCUCUUCCUAUGCCUUUUAAAAUUUCACGCACUAUAAGGAGGAAGAGCUCAGGGCUCCCAAAACUUUUUAUUUAGAGGGAAGAAUGCUAGGGAGAUGGGUAUGCAGAGGGUUGACCAAAUUGGAAGAAAAUAUUUAUUCUGUAGUUUGGUGUUGGAAAAGGGAAUUUUCCAAUCAGCCACACCUCAGUGUUGCGGCAAAAUAAUUCUUGGCUCCCCUGGAAACGCAUGGGCAAGGUAGGGCAGAGCUGCUGCUGCUGAUACUGCCACCACCCUGGGCUUCCUGCUGACUCCGGGCUACUCCCUGGGGACAACAGAUUUGCAUUGACGUCCGGGGCUGUCCAGAGGCCCUCAAGAGCCAGUUGUGAGCUGAGCCCAGUAUGGGAAAGAUCUACCUUCUGGAAGCUACUACUACGUGGUGCUUGGAAAGGUGAGGAUGGGGGACUGACCCCAGGAAAUUGCUCGAAACUCCGUAUCUGGUGGGAUUUCCAGAAAAGUCAGUGGGAGACGGGAGGUUUGGAGGCCCCGGGUUAGAAAGGUUUGUCAGUCUGGGGAAUGAGGAGAAUCAGAAUAAAACUAGGGCAGCAGGCUGUUCGCCUUUGGUUGGGGGAGGGAGGCCUCGAAAAAUCAGGGUCCCGGCUCUCUAACCUGUCUUUGUCGCAGGUCUCACGUUUGUGGGGAGGGGGUUUACCAAGCCCUGCGCCAUGCGCAGUGGCCCCCACCCGUGACUGCGCAUCUGGAAGCGCAGUGCGCCCUGGGUCUCUGGCCUAGGACGAGCACCGCCCUUCUUAUUACAUAACUGAGGGCAUGGCACGCGCCUUCUCGGCCCUUCCUUGCAACCCUACCUUCUUGCUCCCCAGGGCCCAUAGAGCUGGGGAGGGUCUGACUGGGGAGCAGUGAAGGACUGCAAUCCCUGGGAGGGCUAACUCUUGUCUAGUUACUGGCAGGGGCCAAGCUUGAGGACAAAAGUGGUGGUUUUCUAGCCUCAUCUUGGGGAAGAGGCUACAGAACAUCCUUCUGAGUGCCCCAUACCACCUAUGGCCCUUAGGGCCUCUCUGGUGGAGGGGGUGGCACCCUUCUUUCACUCAUGUCCCAUCUGAUUUUUGAGAGGAUGUUUCUGAAGGAAAAGAUGUGAUGAUUAUGGGGGGCUUGGUUGGGAGGUAGUUUUGACAGUUUACUCCCCUUGUCACUGGCUUCCCUUCUUUUCCCUGGGUGGGUUUAUGUCUGGACUCCUCUGAUGAGCUGCCAUUUUGGAGCCAUUUCUGCUGGUCUCCGACAUGGUGGCGUUGGUUUUUCUGUCCUGCUGUGCCAGUUCCGCAGAGUGGGCGGGGGGCGGGGGCUAUGACGGAGGAGGGGAAGGGGGGGCAAAAGCACAGCAGAGGCGGGCACAGUGGUGGCUGCCGCAAUGAAGGUGGCUCCAGGGGCAGAGCCGCCUAGUCCCACCCUUGGACACAGUCCUGGGUGGGGAUUCAGGUGGAAGGCGUCUGGGUAGGGGUUCAACACCUGGGCCCGGCUUUGCCAGAGCGUGGGUUUCCCAUGUCCUCAUCAGCCUGAUGCUUGGAGUAGUUCGGAAAAGCUGAGUGUCUGAAUGAGAGUGGAGGCAGAGGCUCGGCAGCUCAUCUCAGACGUGUCAGACCCGUGGUUUGUGUUCCCCAAAUAGGCUCUGUCUCCAGCAGCCUCCCUGUGGGGACAGGGAAGUGAGGUCCAUGGCAGCUUUGAGGAUCUGUUCGGAUGGUCCUGCCUGCUUACUGUUUUUCUUCUCUUUCUCCUCCAUGCCCCCUGCCAGUGCCAUGGUUCCAGCUGUAGUCCUCUUGUGAGGCUCCCCGCUGCCCGUUCCCCCUCUCUCCAGGCCCUUCUGCGUGCAGCGGCCAUCUUGUCUUUCUUGCUCAGAAACUUAAAAUGGUUUCUCAUAAUUCCCAGAGUAAAAUUCCUUCCCUUUAGCGUGAUGCUCAGUGCUGGCCGUAACUGGCCUUAGGUUUCCUGUACAGUCUUACCUCUCUCAGUUUCUUUUGGUGGACCACAGGUUCCAACAAAACCAGGCAACUUCCUUUUCCUAUCUGUUUUCACCAGUGAUGUUUUCCAUGCCUCUUCUCCUCUGCAUCCACCUGUGGCAGUCUCACUUUCUCCGUGGACCUCUCCUGAUUUCCUUUGCAAGAAGCAGUUCUCAUAACCACCCCUGCCCUUUCAGCCAAACUUCCAUACAGUCUGUCCCUUUUUAUGGUACUUUUGUUGUGUUAUGAUUACGUGUAAGUCUUAUGUCACCUAUCGGAUUGGGAGCUCCAGGAGGGAGGCUAGAGAAAGGAGAAGGAAAACAAAUACCUAUUUGGUGCCUUCUGUUUGACAGAUACCAUGUUAGACACUUUCCCUGCAGUUACUUCAUUUAUUCCUUUCCACAGCCCUGUGGGGAGCAUCCCAUGUCUAGUAAGUGGCCUGGUCAUGACUAGAGCCCUGGUCUUCCAAAGCCUUUACAUUUUUCCUCUCUGAAUUACUGGUGUUUACAAGAUGGCUGUUAUGAAGUAGAUCCCCAAAAUUUGUCUAUUUAAGGAAUUUUGUAAGUCCCUAAUGCUCUGAGGGAGUUUGGGUGGUCAAUCUUGUGUCCAUGGUCUGGGUCCCUCAGCUGUUCCUUGACACUGUCAUUAACUUUCUCCUCUUCCUUUGUGGUCAGGUUCACUCAAGAUGAUGGCUUUUUUCUUGUAGCUGAAAUUGAUGGAUUAACUGACUCAGUUAUCCUGGUUGCCUUCCUCGUACAAGAGGAGGAAGAGGUGGAGUGGGAUAUAGCAUCUUCAAAGCCAGAAUAAGCUCCAGAAUUAGAGAGCAGAGAGCAGAGACACUGGACUUGAACAGACCUAGGUUUUCAUUGUGAUCCUUCUUCUUAGCUGAGUGACUUUAGACAAGUCAUAUGAUUUAAGUUUUCAUGUCCUCGUUCAGUGAGAUGGAGCUACUACAACUGUUAUACAGAAAUGCCUAAUAUAUUGGCAGCAAAUAGGUUCCCAUCCCUACCCAGUGGUUUAUCAGGGACUUAAAAUGGGAGCAUAGCACGGGGCUAGAGAAGAAAUGGGGGAGACAGGAGCUCCUGUGCCCUAAGUGGUAUCACAGCAGGGGCGCAGAGGAGGUAACCUAGGCGUUACGCCCUUCAAGCCUGCAAGGUGGUACUGUCCCCCACCUGGCAUAAAUACCCCUUUACUUCUGCAUCAGGAACAUGCCGUGGCAUGGAGUGGUGGGGGCUGGUGACGGCAGAGGGAGGGUCAGUGAGCUUUCCUGGGAGCCUUUUGAUGCCAGGUUAGUUUCCCUUCUUUCUGAAUCUCAGCAGUGGCUGCCUGCUUCCCUGACACUGCUGAGUCCCAUGGGAGGGGAGCUGGGCACCCUGAAGCCCCUCGUUACCAAUUCGGGGGCCGCGAAGCAGAGAGUGACGACAGCCAGUGAGUCGUCAGUCGACGGCAAUGGGGACCCUGGUGACGGCUGCUUUGUUGUUUUUUUUCCUCUUUGGAAGAUGACUCAGUGUAUCGGGAGCCGGGAGAUGGAGCUCUCAGCAGAGUGGCCAGGAUGUUCUGUCAACAUGAAAGCUACAAAAACAGCUUGGGGCUCUGAGCUGAUCCUUAGCCUGGGGUCAUUUUCAGGGAGGGCUGGACAGAGAAGGCGGCCACCGCCCGGGCAUCAGGAUGGGAGCGACACCAGAGGACUCAGGAGAGUGCAGCUUGCUCUGUGAGUGGGUGACAACCUCUUGGCGACUCAGGCUCAGCUGAGGAUGGUGCCAGUGUGCCGGAGACAGCCGUCAUACUGCCGGAUAGAGUGGCUCACUUGCAUGUAUUUGGAACAAAAAAAGGAGAUGCCUGGCAGCCCCGCUCUCUGCAGUGCUGUUGAGCCACCAAUUUUUGUGGUUUUGUGACCACAAGUGCUGACUGAUGCGACAUGACCCCAGUCUUGUCAGUGAAUCAUCACCAGGCUGCUUACUGGAAACUGGAUGCAGCUAGGAAAUAGGAUUUAACCGCUCUCUGCCUCCCAGGAGCCCUGAAAUCAGCAUUCCCAGAGGAAAGAAGAUGGCCAUCUGGGCUUGGCUUCCGGCUCCCCCCAUCUGGCUGGAACACACAUCAGUCACGUAAGUAGCUGUGACUCAGCACCCAGCACUGCCUUGGCAGAACCUUCCCACGUUCUGGAUUUGCACACACUGUGGUAGCGCAGCACAAGCAAGCAGGGUUAGGUAACUGGGGACCAGUGUCUGUUUGUUCAGUGGGUUUGCUUAUGGAUUUCAGAAAGAAGGAUUCCCUCACCUUCCCAUUUUCCUCCCAUGUUAUUUUUUAGGUACCAUGCUAGGCUUUAAAGACAAAGCAUCAUUUAUAGAAUGAAGUAGAAGCUGUCUUUGCAGUCUCCAAACUAUUUUUAACCGACAGCCUAUAGAUGGUAUUUAACCCUCAGAUGUGUUUGGCCUGCACGGGUUUUUGUUUUUGUUUGAGACAGGGUUUCGCUCUGUAGCCCAGGCUGGAGUGCAGUGGCACGAUAUCAGCUUGCUGCAACCUCUGCCUCCCAGGCUCAAGCAGUUCUCAUGCCUCAGCCUCCUGAGUAGCUGGGACUACAGGUGCGUGCCACCACACCUGGCUAGGGUUAUUUUAAUGUAUCUGAUUUUGCAUGCAUUUAGACAAAAUAUGGCCUCCCCAGUUCACUGUAUUUCUGCUGCAUGCUGUUGCUGCUUCUCUGUCUCAGGUUUCCUGCCCAAGCCCUCCGAGCAUUUGAACGUGCUGUGAGCAGCCUACCUCAGCCUCCUCUCUUUACACAUGAAGACACUGAGGCCCAUUCAGGGCAAGUGGCAGGUCCCUGUUCUCAAAGUUGGGGCCAAGCAGGUAUUAAAACCAUUGUGUUCUGAUUCACUGUGUGCCCAAGCAGAUUAAUGCCCUGGUGUGAGGUCGAGAAGCCUCCAGGUAGAAUGUGGGGACAGAAGUGGACCAGGCUGGAGUAUAGCUCCCACACCUUUUCCCUGCGUGGCAGCACUCGUAAGACUGACAUGCCCACCCUUCUGGAUGGGUGGUUUUCCUCCCCAGACAGCCCUGCCAACCCUUUCACCUUCAGCCAGUUUGUUUGGAGUCAUUAGGCUGAGGUGGGUAAAACCCAUCACCCUCCUUGGAUGGCAGAGCUCUCAGCAGGCUGGGAUUUUCAUGGGCUGCCUUCUUACAGGUCUAGGUGGCCUUCAGGCAUGGUGCCAGGGAAAGCAAGCCCCUUCCAGCCCUUACCAAACUAACUGGCUGCUUCCUAGUAGGGAACAGCCACCAGCUUGUUUCAGCGAAGAGUCAUUGCUCAGCUGAUUGUGAGAGGAGAAAACUGGUUCUGUUGGGAGGGCUGAGACCUGAAGGACCCCUUUUGUCCAGUGGAAUUGGAAAGGCAAAGGAUUUCAAUACUAACAUGAUUUUUUUCUCCACUUCUUUUAGAGUGUUUAAUUAAAGUGAUGCAUUGUUAAUGGCUUCUUAUCUCUUAUUCCAGAGAGUUAAGAGUUAAAUUUUAGAAUCCAGGAGUGGGGACCCAGACUGUGGCUUCUGUUAACUCCCUCAGUGGCAGUGGCGUCCUGCUAUGCACAGCCCCUCUGCUGUACUCCGAAUGGUCCCUUACGGGUAGCAGGAGAGACAUUAAAUAAUCACACUGAUGACCAAGUGAGAUAAGUGGUUUUUGAAGGAAAGAACUUGAGGCUGGCGAGGACCACUUAACCUUCUAGCAAGGGCUGGACUCAGGGAGGCUUUCCUGAGCUGUGGGGAGGAUGACAGGUUCCCUGGAGUGGUGGUGGGUGGGGGCGGAGCUGAGGGGUGGUAGCUAAGGGAGGGUGAAGGAGAGUAUUCCAGAAGAGACAACAGCUUAAGCAGGACCUUGCCAUGGAGGAAGGUGCUUUCUGAUCACCACGGGACACCUGUGUGAUAGCUCAUAGGGAGGGGGUACUGGUAACUAAAAGUUGAUAAGGACGAGUGGCUAAAAUGAAAAGCAGAAAAGUGAGAAUCUCAUCAAAUCCCCUCAUUUGACAGGAUUUGGACUCCCAGUAGUAACUGUCCUUAAACACUCACUCCUGACCUUACAACCCUGGCUGUUACCUGGUUAACAAGCCCCAGGUGUUGGCUACAGGUGUCAUCACUGAGAGCCCUUGUGUGCAGAUCUGCCCCAGCUCUCCCACCUGUGACUGAGGCUAGCAAGUCCCCCGUGGGCUGUAGAGCCUAGCGCUGGUGUCAGAAUCGCUUGUUGCAGGUUCAUCUUCAGUGUCUUUCCCACAGCCACAUGCUGGGGAAAGACGGCAAAGGCGCUAGAGGAGCAGGAGAACAAAGCAAGCUGCCCCAGACCACCCGGCCUUCGCAGAACCCAGAUGAUGCUCCUGUCUCCCCCUAAGUAUAAUGUGUUAUGUAGUCAGUAUGAUCCCAUUCAGUGCAGAAAUAUCGCCUAGGAAUUUCCUGCCCCACCCACCCUGUUUUGUUCUUAAUGAAGUUGAAGAACAAAAUGAGAUGAUAGUCAAGUUAUGGAGCAGGCUGCAGUGGGUACAAGGGCAGAAACACAGUCUUUGGAGUUAGACCUGGGAUCUGCAUUUAUUGGUUGUGUGACUGCAGACAAGUUAUUUAGCCUCAUUAAGGAUGAAUUUCUUCACAAAAAUUGGAAUAAUACCUGCCCCAUACGACUGUUGUGAGAAUUAAACACCACAACUUUUGAUGUUCAAAUUCUAUUUCUUCUCCUUCUAGCAACACAUACUGUUAGUGCCAGGAACCAUAAAAAUUAUAAGGCUGUAUCUAGAGGCCUGAAAGGAAGCUAAAAUAUACAGUUUCUACUCUGUCUCUUUUCUCUUGGUUAUGGUAUCAGAGGAAAUACACAUAUUUUCUUAGCUUCAAACAACCACAAAAGAUGAUGCAGUAAGGAGAUGGGAAAUCUAAUUUGGAAUACAGUGUGCAAAUCUUAUUUUCAAGCAGAUUUUGAAAAUAAAACUCAAUUCUUAUGUUAGAGGAUUAUCUGCUUAAUACAAUUAUAGGGUACCAGUUUUUGAAGUCACAUCAGGGGUUAAAUAAGAUUGCAGAUUCAUGGGGUCAUAUUUGAAUGUUCUGAUACUUACAUAUGGGGUGGGAAGGAGGAAUGCAUGCUUUUCUCAAGUUAAGACACAUAGAAGAGUUGUCCUGGCCUAGGUGAGACUCACCUUUGUGUAGCAGCUGGAGCUUCAUUCCACAGGCAGAUAGGGUGCUUGUGUCCUGAUGAAGUAAGAGAAUAUAUCUGGAAACACUUUGUAUACUGUGAAAUACUAUACAAAUGCAGGGCAGUACAAAUGUAAAUAUUAAUGUAUUUUAGUAAUAAUUUUAGCUUUUAUUUCAUCAUAUAUAAUAAUUUGUAGUGACUGGUGUGAAGUUAAAUAGAAUUAACCUAGAAUUAAUGAGUUUUGUAUUGCUCUCAUCUAUUUGAAGCAUCAGCUGUGCCUUUCAUGUUGCUUUGCGCAGCCCUGUGUAACCUCCUCUGUGCCUUUCCCAUGGAGCACUGUGUCAUAUCACAAGUAGAACUACAAGAAGAUAUUUCUCCUCAGGGCAGAGGCUGGGUCUUCCGAUUGAAUCUCCCUUCUUUCUUCAUUGAGAUCCUCUUCUUCUGGAAGCUGGUUUCACAUGGUGGCUUAGAUUUUUCCAUCUUUGUAUCUAGCACCAUUUGAAAUCAGUGUUUUAGGAGUAAGAAUUGCAGCACAGCCAAGGGUGGACUGCAGAGGAACUGCUGCUCAUGGGACUGGCUCCUGUCCUCUUACCACUUGAGUCUGUUCGAGAAGUCCAGGGAAGAACUUGAAGAGCAAAAUACACUCUUGAGUUUGUUGGGUUUUGGGAGAGGUGACAGUAGAGAAGCGGGUUGUGUUUAAAAUAAACACAGUGGCUUGAGCAGGGGCAGAGGUUGUGAUGCUAUUUCUGUUGACUCCUAGCAGCCAUCACCAGCAUGAAUGUGUUCGUAGGGCCUUUGAGUGUGGCGAUUGUCAUAUUCUGUUGGAUAACAAUGUAUUGGGUAUCGAUUGUCAUGGGGCAGGGGAGAGGGCAGUACACCUGGAGGACCAUUUUGUCCACAUCGACACCAUCAGUCUGCUCUUAGAGGACGACCUGGAGUAUUCGGCGUUGAUUGCGGGGCACCCGAAAUCAGACUUGCCACCUGGACUGUCGAGGUGCAGACCCUGGGAGCACCACUGGCCCAUCUCUUACACAGGCUGACCGAUUUCUCCUGGUGUUCAGAGUCUGUUUUUGUCUAGCACCAUUUGAAAUCGGUUAUGAUGUAGGGGGAAAAGCAGCAGCCUCGAAGCCUCAUGCCAACUCUGGGCAGCAGCAGCCUGUGGUUUCCUGGAAGAUGGAUGGGCAGAGAAUGGGGAAGGAAGAUCAUGCUUUUCCCUACUAACUUCUUUAACUGCAUGUAUGAUACAUUAUUGCAGAGGUAAGAGAUAGUUUAAUGGAUUUUUAAAAACAAAUUACUAUAUCUGAUGUUCUCUAGUUGCAUUUUGCUGAAAUGUAGUGCUGUUCUAAAUUCUGUAAAUUGAUUGCUGUUGAAUUAUCUUUCUGUUGAGAAGAGUCUAUUCAUGCAUCCUGACCUUAAUAAAUACUAUGUUCAGUUUAUCA